AAAAUUGGGGCUGGGGAUGUGGCUCAAGUGGUAGCACGCUCGCCUGGCAUGCGUGCAGCCCGGGUUCGAUCCUCAGCACCACAUACAAACAAAGAUGUUGUGUCUGCCCAAAACUAAAAAAUAAAUAUUAAAAUUCUUUCUCUCUCUCUCUCUCUCUCUCUCUUAAAAAAAGAAUUCUCAGAUCUGAUCUAGCCAAUGGAAAGCUCUUCAAGCUCUCUCUUGUGUUCUUGUGACUUUAAAAAAAAAAAAGAAGCUCCCAAAAUUGGUAUAAAUUAUCGAGUAAAAGGACAGAUAUUCAGCCAGCCGAUACUGAUGCACACUUGCUGGAGAGCCUGAUGAGGACCUGGACUGAUAUCCCAGCUCUUAUCAUCUGCCUGAUCCUCUGCAUUGUCCUCACCACUCUCAAACUCUACAGCAGCCUCUUGACCCUGGUGAGAAUGGCAACUUCUCC
Molecule: long non-coding RNA, 451 nt
Filed under: Marmota monax (woodchuck)
Lineage: Eukaryota; Metazoa; Chordata; Mammalia; Rodentia; Sciuridae
Source: RNAcentral